RNAcentral lists this ribosomal RNA (459 nucleotides) under uncultured bacterium. RNAcentral describes it as "partial 16S ribosomal RNA". It matches the Rfam family "Bacterial small subunit ribosomal RNA", at positions 338 to 795 of the family's 1533-position model. The record is from RNAcentral.
CCUACGGGAGGCAGCAGUGAGGAAUAUUGGUCACUGGCCGAGAGGCUGACCCAGCCAAGUCGCGUGAGGGAAGACGGCCCUACGGGUUGUCAACCUCUUUUGUCGGGGAGCAAAGCGAGUCACGUGUGCCUCAUUGCGAGUACCCGCAGAAAAAGCAUCGGCUAACUCCGUGCCAGCAUCCGCGGUAAUACGGAGGAUGCGCACGGUAUCCGGAUUUAUUGGGUUUAACGGGUGCGCAGGCGGAGGUGCAAGUCAGCGGUCAAAUUGCGGGGCUCAACCCCGUACUGCCGUUGAAACUGCAUCCCUUGAGUGCGCGAGAAGGAUGCGGAAGGCGUGGUGUAGCGGUGAAAUGCAUAGAUAUCACGCAGAACUCCGAUUGCGAAGGCAGCAUACCGGCGCGCAACUGACGCUCAUGCACGAAAGCGUGGGUAUCGAACAGGAUUAGAUACCCGGGUAGUC